GACGAACGCUGGCGGCGUGCUUAACACAUGCAAGUCGAGCGGUAAGGCCCUUUCGGGGUACGACGAGCGGCGAACGGGUGAGUAACACGUGGGUGACCUGCCCUCAGCCCUGGGAUAAGCCUGGGAAACCGGGUCUAAUACUGGAUAUGACUCCAUGACGCAUGUUGUGGGGUGGAAAGCCUUGUGCGGCUGAGGAUGGGCCCGCGGCCUAUCAGCUUGUUGGUGGGGUGA
RNAcentral lists this ribosomal RNA (231 nucleotides) under uncultured bacterium. RNAcentral describes it as "partial 16S ribosomal RNA". It matches the Rfam family "Bacterial small subunit ribosomal RNA", at positions 28 to 260 of the family's 1533-position model. The record is from RNAcentral.